Saccostrea cuccullata (small rock oyster) is the source of this 2627-nucleotide long non-coding RNA. RefSeq lists it as uncharacterized. The record is from RefSeq and is a predicted model, not a curated record. The transcript has 5 exons. NCBI's taxonomy places the organism in Eukaryota, Metazoa, Mollusca, Bivalvia, Ostreida, Ostreidae.
CGAAAAGAAUUUCCUCUGCAUUUCACAAUAUGUGCUUAUAUGUUCGACCAUACUAUUUUUGUAACGAAUUAGCAAUUUUUUUUUUUAAAAGUGUGUGCAUGUAUUCUUAAGUAAUUAUAAUGAAUAGUGAUUCAGUUGCAAAUUCGAUCGCUAAAAUACUGUGAAAUUUUAGUGCUUUGCGAAUACUCUGCAACACAGUAAAAUUUCAAACGAUGGAGAACCCUGCAGAAGUAACAAGCUACUAAAACUACUAACGUCUGCUAAAUGUUGUGUGAUGCGUCUAGUGUGUUGGUGUUAGUGUGUGUGUGCUUGUCACCUCUCGCUUUCAUCCAUCAUCGCUGGCUAGCAGCAAUGUGAAAAGGGAAGGAAUUUUUAUGUCUUCCCCUGCCAGAACAUAGCCUCUCCACAACAAGUCCUAUGCGAUGCCUCCACGUGGAAGCAGACGGAUACUGGGUACCAUUUGGUCCCAGGCUAAGUUCGCAAGGGCGCAUGGGAAGAUGAGUCUCAAAAGCAUUGGUAAACAUCUUAUCUAGGAAAGAAAACUGAUCACAACCCCUGUUUAGUAGAAGAAUCAAUUGAUAUAAGUGCUGGUUUUUAAAAGAAGUGAACCUUUGUUCAUUUUAUGUCUUUGUCAUAUUUUUUGUAAAAUUUCACAUUUUCAUCUUUGUCAAAAUUCAAGGAAACUUGGCAAAGAGUAUCCUUGGAUAAAUACCAUUAUGGGAUUUAAGUUUAUUCAAAUGAAGGCCCACUCCCUCUUCAAAUGGAAGAUUACUAUACAAAUACCGGUAAGUGAAAAAUUAAGGACAUCUUUUAAAAAUCUUCUGAGACAGGAAAGAGACACUUGUGUGGCAUCAUCCUCAGGUAGUGUAGAUUCAAAGUCAAAUCAAGACCCCAUGUUGGGGUCAGAAUAGGGGAUCAAAAAUAUAUAUUAUACUGUAGAUUCCUUAUUUUCGCGUGUAAUUAUUAUCGCGAAUAGGCUUUUCACUCUCAAAUCACGAGAAUAAUAAUUCGAAUGGAUGGUUGGUUAAAAGAUUUUACAUAGAUUUCAGCUCCAUAAAAAUAAAGGCGAGUAAUUUAAUUUUGUGUUUGAUGCCCCUUGCGAAAUUAUGCGAUAAUUACUUCCACGCAUAUAUUUAGGAAUCUACAGUAUGUACCCAGGGAUAUACAUAAUUGUUUUUUUCUCAAGCCACAAUUAGUCAUAUUGAUAUCAAAUCAUCCUUUUUGGUAGUGAAGAUUUCAUUUUGUUCAAAUCGUCUAUCGGGGAAAGGUUUGGGCCACAAUGGACAAUCAAAGUUUUACUUUGGAUUAUAUUGGAAAUAUCUUUAGAAAUCUAGCAUCUUCAUGUAGUGUAGAUUUAAGUUUGUUCAAAUUAUGACUCCCAUGUGUAGGGCAGAGCCCCAAUGGUGGAUCAAAAUCGACAGGGGAAUGUAUAGGAAACGUCCUCUCAAUAAUACCAAAGCCAUAUAUACCGGUAGUCAUAUUGAUAUGGGAGCAUCCUUAGGUAGUGUAGAUUCACAUUUGUCCACAUCUUGAUUCCAGGGGGCAGGGAGGGGCAUCAAUGGCCCGGGAUAGUAAUAUAUAGAAAAAAAAUCUAUGUUCAAGAACAGCUAAGCCAUUGUUAUUGAUAUGAAAAUGUCUCAAGGUAGUUAUAUUCCAAAAUUUAUACUUUUCAAUACUGGACUAAUUUGUGCAUUUACUAGCCAAUAUGCUUAGGUGAGCAUAUCGCUUUUGGCCACUUGUUUAUUUUAGAAAUCUUCUCACUUGGUAUGAAGUGCCAAUGAUCCCCUUUUGGUGUCUGUUUUUAUCUUUUUAAGCAGAAUAAUGUUAGGGUUGAACAGGAUCCUGAAGUGAGGAAGACUCCCUCUCCCAUUGAACUGCAGACAUCAGCAGAAAGCAGAAUUUCAGUUCCUCUUUAAUUCAAAAGAGGAAGAACAAUGGAGGACCAAGGUCAUUAAUAUAAGAAGAGUCUAUUCCUGUCUGUGUUUUGAAGGCAUUGUGUUUCAAAAGUGCAGAAGAAAGUUAAGACUGACUAGGAAUUCUAAGUAAGGAAGAAUCCCUCUCCCAUUUCGCUGCAGCCAUGAGGAGAAUAUUUGUACUUCUUUUUUUACCUAUGGAACUUCAUCAGGACCCACUUUAACAAGCAGGAGUCUUACAAGUAUUUUUGUUUAAUUAUUUCUGACAUAUUUCUGUCCUCCCUCCUCUAAAGUAACUAUGCAUUCCUCUCCUUGCCCCAAUAAUCCACCUUAUUCCUCUCAUAACCUGAUUGUCUUAAUUUGCUCUUUGAUUUUCCAGCUAAUAAUGUUGUAAUGAUUAUGAUCAUUUGAGUUUCUUUGAUUAUUACAUUGCUUUGAAUUAUUGCUUAUCUUCUCUCCAUCAAGUAUUUUUAAGGGAUUUGACAAGGGAAGAAGGAAGAAGACCAGUGCUGACCAAGAGAAGAAGAAGAGUUCAUUGCCAAGCUUUGUCUAGCAGACAGUAUCUGAUAAUGGAGCAGAAGAUGAGACUGACCUCAACUUGUUAACAAGACUGGAGAUGAAGGACUAACUACUGUCUAACCUGAAAUCUUUGGUAAGGGUUUAUGCUGGCAUUGAUCCUGUUUCCAAAAGCAGCUCGCAAUGUUUCUGUGAGAG